CAGUUGAUUUUUAUUAUUCAUGGUAAUUAUGUUUUAUGAAAUCACCACUAGCUGAAUUAGCGGGUGCUGAACCACUGCUCCCAGAGGAAAUACAGGGUUUGGUUCCUGCAAGCCUCUGCUCACAUUUUCAUCAGCAGAUUGAUACAGCACCUUGUUUUAUAUGUGUUUCUAUUUAGAAAGACCUUAUUUAAUAUAUAUUGUUGAUUCACUACCGUGGAACUCACGGCCCACAGCACUAUGCCUCACCACUGAAUGAACCUUAUCUUAGCACACUAUUUUCUCCGGAUGGUGCCUCACAGCCUUCUUGCAUUUAGGAACACCAGACAGCACUUCAGCACUACACUUGGGGGCCAUUUUAAACAGCAAAGUCACCAACAAAAAACUCAAAAAUGUGAAAAACAUGGCACAAAAAGGACAUUUGUUUAUGGUACCAGAGCUGAAACAACCAAGAGUGUUGCUUUGUCUCACCUCACCUGGCAACAUGGACGUUGGGCAACUCAAACUUUUUGUUACUCUGCACAUGCACAUGUUCAUAAAUGACCACAAAAGCACCACAAGUAUUGGUUUUGGAGUUACAAAUAAAUUUUAGCAAUUAAAUGAAUUUGCAAACACAGAGUCUACAAAUAACCAGCAGCAACUGUUUAAUAUUUCCCCAAACAAGACCAGAUUGGGAGUUUCCCAUUCUGCAAGAUAGAAAAUUGGCUAAAUGAUUUGAAAACGUGGGUUGAAACUAGGAUUGGAAUCAAGUCUGUUGUAAUGUUGCUUGAGCAAAAACUACUCUUGGUAUUUUUUUAAGUCAACUUUACUAAGGUCUAAAUUUCACACAGUAAAAGGCAAGCAUCUUAAGUGUACAGUUCCAUAAAUUUUGACAAAUGUACACACCCAUGUAACCACCACUACAAGCGAGAUAAAGGAUAUUUCCAUCACCCCAAAAGGUUGCCUUGGGCCACCUCCCAGUCAAUCCACACCCCCCACCCCGGCUGUCACUGAUCUGUUUUCUGUCACUAUAAUUUAGAUCUAUCUUUUCUAGAGUUUCAUAUAAAUGGAAUCAUACAAAAUACACUCUUAUAUCUGGCUUCUUUCACUCAUCAUAUUUUUGAAAUACAUCCACGUGGUUGCAUGUAUUGGUAAUUCAUUCCUUCCUAUGUUGAGCAUUUCGAUGUAUGGGUGCGCCCCAAUAUUUAUUAUUGAUGGACAUUUGAGUUGGAUUGUUAACAGUUUGAGGCUGUUAUAAAUAAAGCUGCUACCAAUAUUCAGGAAUAAGUCUUUCUGUGGGUUUGUGUUUUUGUUUCUCAGGUAAAUAUUUGGGAGUAGGAUUAGUGGGUCAUAUG
Molecule: long non-coding RNA, 1331 nt
Filed under: Equus asinus (donkey)
Lineage: Eukaryota; Metazoa; Chordata; Mammalia; Perissodactyla; Equidae
Description: lncRNA (ENSEASG00005029756.1)
Source: RNAcentral